Molecule: ribosomal RNA, 492 nt
Filed under: uncultured bacterium
Lineage: Bacteria
Description: partial 16S ribosomal RNA
Rfam family: Bacterial small subunit ribosomal RNA
Source: RNAcentral
AGUGAACGCUGGCGGUAGGCCUAACACAUGCAAGUCGAACGGCAGCACAAUAAGAGCUUGCCCUUAAGGGUGGCGGGUGGCGGGCGGGUGAGGCGUACAUAAGAUUCUACUUUUUCGUGGGGGACAUCGUAGAGACAGUUACGCUAAUACCGCAUACGUCCUACGGGUGAAUGCAAGAGAUCUUCACACCUUGCGCGACUGAUUGAGCCGAUGUCGGAUUAGCUAGUUGGCGAGGUAACGGCCCACCAAGGCGACGAUGCGUAGCUGGUCUGAGAGGAUGAUCAGCCACACUGGAACUGAGACACGGUCCAGACUCCUACGGGAGGCAGCAGUAGGGAAUAUUGGGCAAUGGGCGCAAGCCUGACGGAGCAAUGCCGCGUGAGUGAUGAAGGCCUUCGGGUCGUAAAACUCUGUUGUUGGGAAAGAAAAGCUGUAUAUUAAUACCUGGCUGUUUUGACGGUACCCAAAGAGAAAGCACCGGCUAACUUCGUG